GGUUAAGCGACUAAGCGUACACGGUGGAUGCCCUGGCAGUCAGAGGCGAUGAAGGACGUGCUAAUCUGCGAUAAGCGUCGGUAAGGUGAUAUGAACCGUUAUAACCGGCGAUUUCCGAAUGGGGAAACCCAGUGUGAUUCGUCACACUAUCAUUAACUGAAUCCAUAGGUUAAUGAGGCGAACCGGGGGAACUGAAACAUCUAAGUACCCCGAGGAAAAGAAAUCAACCGAGAUUCCCCCAGUAGCGGCGAGCGAACGGGGAGGAGCCCAGAGCCUGAAUCAGUGUGUGUGUUAGUGGAAGCGUCUGGAAAGGCGCGCGAUACAGGGUGACAGCCCCGUACACAAAAAUGCACAUGCUGUGAGCUCGAUGAGUAGGGCGGGACACGUGGUAUCCUGUCUGAAUAUGGGGGGACCAUCCUCCAAGGCUAAAUACUCCUGACUGACCGAUAGUGAACCAGUACCGUGAGGGAAAGGCGAAAAGAACCCCGGCGAGGGGAGUGAAAAAGAACCUGAAACCGUGUACGUACAAGCAGUGGGAGCACGCUUCGGCGUGUGACUGCGUACCUUUUGUAUAAUGGGUCAGCGACUUAUAUUCUGUAGCAAGGUUAACCGAAUAGGGGAGCCGAAGGGAAACCGAGUCUUAACUGGGCGUUAAGUUGCAGGGUAUAGACCCGAAACCCGGUGAUCUAGCCAUGGGCAGGUUGAAGGUUGGGUAACACUAACUGGAGGACCGAACCGACUAAUGUUGAAAAAUUAGCGGAUGACUUGUGGCUGGGGGUGAAAGGCCAAUCAAACCGGGAGAUAGCUGGUUCUCCCCGAAAGCUAUUUAGGUAGCGCCUCGUGAAUUCAUCUCCGGGGGUAGAGCACUGUUUCGGCAAGGGGGUCAUCCCGACUUACCAACCCGAUGCAAACUGCGAAUACCGGAGAAUGUUAUCACGGGAGACACACGGCGGGUGCUAACGUCCGUCGUGAAGAGGGAAACAACCCAGACCGCCAGCUAAGGUCCCAAAGUCAUGGUUAAGUGGGAAACGAUGUGGGAAGGCCCAGACAGCCAGGAUGUUGGCUUAGAAGCAGCCAUCAUUUAAAGAAAGCGUAAUAGCUCACUGGUCGAGUCGGCCUGCGCGGAAGAUGUAACGGGGCUAAACCAUGCACCGAAGCUGCGGCAGCGACACUAUGUGUUGUUGGGUAGGGGAGCGUUCUGUAAGCCUGUGAAGGUGGCCUGUGAGGGUUGCUGGAGGUAUCAGAAGUGCGAAUGCUGACAUAAGUAACGAUAAAGCGGGUGAAAAGCCCGCUCGCCGGAAGACCAAGGGUUCCUGUCCAACGUUAAUCGGGGCAGGGUGAGUCGACCCCUAAGGCGAGGCCGAAAGGCGUAGUCGAUGGGAAACAGGUUAAUAUUCCUGUACUUGGUGUUACUGCGAAGGGGGGACGGAGAAGGCUAUGUUGGCCGGGCGACGGUUGUCCCGGUUUAAGCGUGUAGGCUGGUUUUCCAGGCAAAUCCGGAAAACUAAGGCUGAGGCGUGAUGACGAGGCACUACGGUGCUGAAGCAACAAAUGCCCUGCUUCCAGGAAAAGCCUCUAAGCAUCAGGUAACAUCAAAUCGUACCCCAAACCGACACAGGUGGUCAGGUAGAGAAUACCAAGGCGCUUGAGAGAACUCGGGUGAAGGAACUAGGCAAAAUGGUGCCGUAACUUCGGGAGAAGGCACGCUGAUAUGUAGGUGAAGCGACUUGCUCGUGGAGCUGAAAUCAGUCGAAGAUACCAGCUGGCUGCAACUGUUUAUUAAAAACACAGCACUGUGCAAACACGAAAGUGGACGUAUACGGUGUGACGCCUGCCCGGUGCCGGAAGGUUAAUUGAUGGGGUUAGCGGUAACGCGAAGCUCUUGAUCGAAGCCCCGGUAAACGGCGGCCGUAACUAUAACGGUCCUAAGGUAGCGAAAUUCCUUGUCGGGUAAGUUCCGACCUGCACGAAUGGCGUAAUGAUGGCCAGGCUGUCUCCACCCGAGACUCAGUGAAAUUGAACUCGCUGUGAAGAUGCAGUGUACCCGCGGCAAGACGGAAAGACCCCGUGAACCUUUACUAUAGCUUGACACUGAACAUUGAGCCUUGAUGUGUAGGAUAGGUGGGAGGCUUUGAAGUGUGGACGCCAGUCUGCAUGGAGCCGACCUUGAAAUACCACCCUUUAAUGUUUGAUGUUCUAACGUUGACCCGUGAUCCGGGUUGCGGACAGUGUCUGGUGGGUAGUUUGACUGGGGCGGUCUCCUCCUAAAGAGUAACGGAGGAGCACGAAGGUUGGCUAAUCCUGGUCGGACAUCAGGAGGUUAGUGCAAUGGCAUAAGCCAGCUUGACUGCGAGCGUGACGGCGCGAGCAGGUGCGAAAGCAGGUCAUAGUGAUCCGGUGGUUCUGAAUGGAAGGGCCAUCGCUCAACGGAUAAAAGGUACUCCGGGGAUAACAGGCUGAUACCGCCCAAGAGUUCAUAUCGACGGCGGUGUUUGGCACCUCGAUGUCGGCUCAUCACAUCCUGGGGCUGAAGUAGGUCCCAAGGGUAUGGCUGUUCGCCAUUUAAAGUGGUACGCGAGCUGGGUUUAGAACGUCGUGAGACAGUUCGGUCCCUAUCUGCCGUGGGCGCUGGAGAACUGAGGGGGGCUGCUCCUAGUACGAGAGGACCGGAGUGGACGCAUCACUGGUGUUCGGGUUGUCAUGCCAAUGGCACUGCCCGGUAGCUAAAUGCGGAAGAGAUAAGUGCUGAAAGCAUCUAAGCACGAAACUUGCCCCGAGAUGAGUUCUCCCUGACUCCCUGAGAGUCCUGAAGGAACGUUGAAGACGACGACGUUGAUAGGCCGGGUGUGUAAGCGCAGCGAUGCGUUGAGCUAACCGGUACUAAUGAACCGUGAGGCUUAACCUU
This 2905-nucleotide ribosomal RNA is filed under the name Escherichia coli. Its description in RNAcentral is "23S ribosomal RNA". It matches the Rfam family "Bacterial large subunit ribosomal RNA". The record is from RNAcentral. Lineage: Bacteria; Pseudomonadati; Pseudomonadota; Gammaproteobacteria; Enterobacterales; Enterobacteriaceae.